UUGGUGCUGCCAUCCAUACCACCGCUUCCUACUGUGGGAAGUGUGGCUAUGAGACUUACCUUCUUGGAGCUGGUAUUUAAAGCAAAUCAAUCACUGUUAUCAUGGUGUUUAUCAGCUGCCAUGCACCAGACCUUUACUCAGCUUCUGUCGCUUAAUUCUUAGGCAACUGUGGGCAGUGCUGUUAGGGUCCUCAAUUUGUAAGUGAGGCCACUGAGACACUGAGGAGUUAACGGACCUUGGCCUCAUCACUGGAGACCUUAGAUUCCAGCACUCGAGAAAUGAAUUCAUGGCGUAACUUCCGGGGGAUUUGAGGAGCUAUAACGUCCUUUCCAUGAAAUGGGAUCGACCUCGUCUCUCCUCCUGAAGGUCGGGAGCUUUCUGAAGUGUAUGAAUGUGUCGAAGAGGUCACGAACUCACCUUUCUUCUGCUUGGGAAUCUGAGGCUGGAGUGUUUUUAUUUGUCAAAUUCUGGUGAUAGACCUUGGCUGGGGUAUUCUGUUCCCAGAGCUCGAAGAUAAAUGGAUAAGCUCAUGUCAUUGGGUCUCUGUUGUCACAGCACACUGGACAUUGCAUUCAGUAGAAUCCCUUGAUGGAAACCAAAUGAGAAUCCUGAGGUGAAAGACAACCAAGAGGAGGAGGAUAAUCUUGGCUCCAACCCCAGGACGGAUGGGGAACAACAGAGAAAGGGUAUUUCCGGACCAGCAAAUGAGUUCCCAGAAGCAGGUGGAGAAGGAAUGUGGACCCCGGGGAGGAACAGAGCAGAGCAGACAUUCCACAUUCCCCGCUGCUGAGGCGACAGUCAGACUUUUCACUCACAGGGUGCCCAGGGCCAACUCACACCCCACGUGGCCUUAGUCUCGAGCAGCCCAUCUCCUGCCCAGCCCAAGUGGAGCCCAUGGGUACUGGACACCCCUAGGGGGCGCCAUUCCUGGCAGAGCCCUGGGGAACCAGAACCUUGGGCUUGUGCUGUGGGCACCCUGCACUUUGCUACCCCUGGCCUCUUUGGCUCCCUUGACCUCCUUGCUCUUAUACUAAUCCUAUUAACAAUCCACAGGCCUUUUGGUCCUCCCUGCUCAGCACAACCAGAAUAAGGGGGCUUUCAGGAGACAGGCCUGUUGGGGCCCCAUCAGGAGGACCCUGUCCUGAAGCCAUCAGCUCCCAAGACCGUGGGGGCUGUCAGGGGCUGCCACCCUCUCAGGUGUCACCUGCUCCACUGUCCUCCCCCGGCGGGUGCGCUGGCCUCCCGAGAGUCUGGAUGGACUCCAGGCUGUCACGAUGACAUGGUAAUUGCACUCAUCUAGUAGAGCUAGAUCUGCCGAGAACAAUACGGGGAUAAUGAUGUGCUUCAGCUGCUGCUGUCCUGAAGGUCAGGAAGUGAGGUGGCAUGCACCUGUCUCAGGGUGCGGUGAUGGCCAGGUGUGCACACCCUGUAGAACAGAGGCUCUGUGGCCUGACUGUGCCAGCCAGGUGCCUCUGGGGCCCCUUUCCUCUCCUGCCCGGAGACUCGCUGCUCAGCGGCUGCUGUGAGCUCAGUCCUCUGGGGCAGGAAGGCUGUCCCUCUGGGGGUCCGCUGAGACUUCCGCCACACUGUGCGUGGAUAUCUCCGUGCGCCGUCCCUGCCCCCUCAUGCCUGUCCCCUUCUGUUCUCUGCCACUCCCUACCCUCUCCCCACCUCCCAUCCCAGCCUCAGCGACCCCCUCCACCCCUGUGGGGCUGUUCACGCCCCUCUGUGGACCCCGGAAGCCAGCUGCUGCUUCCUGGCCUAUGCCAUGGUAACAUCGGCCACCAUGAACACCUGAGCUACUUUCCAGAGCUCACAGAGAGCUCUUGGCUCUAUGAUGCCCUCUGAUCCUCACACCAGCUAC
Heterocephalus glaber (naked mole-rat) is the source of this 1864-nucleotide non-coding RNA. The record is from RefSeq and is a predicted model, not a curated record. Lineage: Eukaryota; Metazoa; Chordata; Mammalia; Rodentia; Bathyergidae.